This is an RNA transcript of Pseudopipra pipra, 1407 nucleotides long. It is a transcript of the gene named von Willebrand factor C domain containing 2 like, with no coding region annotated. The record is from RefSeq and is a predicted model, not a curated record. The transcript has 4 exons. Lineage: Eukaryota; Metazoa; Chordata; Aves; Passeriformes; Pipridae.
AUGGAGAAGCUGAGGAGGGGGAUGGCUCUUCAUAUCCAUGAAGCCUGGAUACUUCUGUUCGUAAUCCCUGGUUUGGUCACUCCAGCUGCCAUCAAUCAUGAAGACUAUCCUGCUGAUGAAGGGGACCAGACCUCCAGUAAUGACAAUCUGAUCUUUGAUGACUACCGGGGGAAGGGCUGUGUGGAUGACAGUGGCUUUGUGUACAAACUGGGAGAACGUUUUUUCCCGGGACAUUCCAACUGUCCCUGUGUCUGUACUGAGGAUGGACCUGUUUGUGAUCAACCAGAAUGCCCUAAAAUCCACCCAAAGUGUACAAAAGUGGAACACAAUGGAUGCUGUCCGGAAUGCAAAGAAGUGAAAAACUUUUGUGAAUAUCAUGGGAAAAAUUACAAAAUCUUGGAGGAAUUUAAGCCCUCGCCAUGCGAAUGGUGUCGCUGCGAGCCCAGCAAUGAAGUUCACUGUGUUGUAGCAGACUGCGCAGUUCCCGAGUGUGUCAACCCAGUCUAUGAACCAGAACAGUGUUGUCCUGUCUGCAAAAAUGAAAUUCCUGAAAUGGCCAGAUUUUAAGGUUGCACUUAACCCCCCUUCAGUCAAAGUCUAUGCAAUUUGCUGAUUGGUUGUGCAGAUGCAAGUUGAUUGUGACCAUCCAAGAGAAGACGUGUUCCCCACGCCGGACUGUGCUGGACUCCACCGUCCUCUCCUGGGUCCCGGAGCUGAAGGCAGUAGUGUAGUGUAGCCACAGCACCCUUCAUUCCUGGUGGAUGAAGCACUGAUGGCACCCAGUCACCAGCCAGCCUUGUGGGCACUCGGUCACCCCACGGCCACCACCUCACUGACAGGUCAGGCUGAGGGGGCACAGGAAGGACCGGCUCAUGUUCUUUGGGAUUACCAGCAGGGAUGGGAACUGUGGUGCCCUAUUAGCUCAAGUACAGUGAUUUGAUUACCAACAGAGAAAGAAAGGAUUGAUUUAAAAGCUGGUAGAAGAUCUAGACUGAAAACAAAGCAGUGUGUUUGGGCCAGGCAAACACCAGCCUGACAGAAUACUGCACUUUGAGAGAAGUCAUUUCCCCGAAAUUGCCUUUCAGUGGAGCCCGUUCAUCCCCAUCACUUUGGGCCCAGUGGUUAAAGGCGUGUAGGUGCCAGACUUGCUGGUGGAAAUUCGACACGUAAGCACCUGUGAAGAGCCAGACCCUCCAUCGCUUUUGGGAAUCUCCAGCAGUUGGAUUAUCCAGAUGCUGAAAUGCCCUGCUGACUCAAGACUGCCCUGCUCCCUCUGGGCACAGCUGUUGGAAGAGGCAUCUGAUAACAGUGAAAAGCUUUGGAAAGGUCCGAACUGCUUUGCGGGAACCACGAUAAUUCCCGCCGGCAUCGAGGUGAAGGUGGACGACUGCAAUAUCUGCCACUGCC